CCAUGCUCUACUGACUAUGUGAAUUUUAAGAGAGUGUGGAAAUUAAAAAAUAAAUAAGCUGGUUCUGAGAUUUAAGAAAACAUCAUCUGCAUGAAUCACCAUUUUUUCCUCCUUGGACAUUCAUGGGCUUUUGUGAGUGCUGGUGAAGGCAACCUCGGCAGUGGAAUUGACAUGCAGAGAGUCAAUCUGUCCAGUGUUGCUGAUCUAGUUAGCAAUGGAGCAAGAAUGUGAACAUGAGUGGCCUGGCACUACCACCUCUCCUGAUUUAACAUAUGACUAUUUGGAUAAAGUACAAUAAAGCAAUGGACUUAUUCUCUAGUUUGUACCUAGAAUUAGCUCCUGUGUGGCCCAGAAGCCAGCUCCUGUGGGUUCUCCAACCUGGCAGCAUAACUCCGUUUCCUCUGCAUAUAUGCGGAGUGUGAGGGUCUGUUUCCCUCGGCUACUUAGAGCAGCCUCUGUGGCACAGAGAAGAGAGAGGUGGGAGAAGAGAAGGUUAUGGGAGAAAGGCCAUGUUUUGCCUGUCAAGCUUUCUGAGAAUUGUAGCUCACCAGGACAGGGUCUAAGCAAGGACUACUGAUGGGAAUCCGAGGGCCAGCCUGAGCGUACUUAGCCCCAUCCUCUGAAGCAGGAAAACAGAGCUUGCUCCCGUCCCAACCUCGCACUUCCUCACCAAGUGCCGUGACUUACAGCAAACACCCAUCUGGAAACCCCGCCUGUCCUCUUAGGAUAAAACAAGGGAUUCAGUCUCUAAAGCCCGAGAAUAAAACCUUUUCCAUGUCUAACUCAAAAUAGAUUUUCUUUCUCCUUUUCAUAGUGAUAACCAAAUGAAAAAUACGUUCAGCUCAGAUCCAGCACCGUGUGUUUUAUGA
Oryctolagus cuniculus (rabbit) is the source of this 869-nucleotide non-coding RNA. Lineage: Eukaryota; Metazoa; Chordata; Mammalia; Lagomorpha; Leporidae. The record is from RefSeq and is a predicted model, not a curated record.